This is a long non-coding RNA of Prosopis cineraria, 643 nucleotides long. RefSeq lists it as uncharacterized. The transcript has 3 exons. The record is from RefSeq and is a predicted model, not a curated record. Lineage: Eukaryota; Viridiplantae; Streptophyta; Magnoliopsida; Fabales; Fabaceae.
GCGAGUGAGAGAGAGAGAGAGAGAGAGAGAGUCAGAGAGAGAGAAGCUUCGGAUCAUGUCCUUCCCUCUUUGUCUAAUGGCCAGUGAUCCGAGAUGCGCCCCUCGCUAUUGUCGCCGUCGCUGGACAAUGUAGGCUAUUAGGACGUUUUCCUUUCUCCCAUUUUCGCUCAAGCAACUCUGCUGCUUACAUCUCCUCUGUUCUGUCUGUUUCUUUCUUUCCUUUCCUUUCUGUCUUGUGGACAAUCUGAGGGUGUGUAGAAAAAGAGAACCUUGACAAGUGUUGAAAGGAGAAAUUAUUGAGUUUUGAGAGCUCUGAACAGAUAAUGUGGUCGAUCUUGCACCUUCAGAUGAUCGUUGAGGAGUGGAAUGUCAAGUUGAAGUUGGAGCAUUAUUCUGGUUAAUCUCCCUUCAAUGUAAACCUAAAAAUAUAUUUUGUAUUUUGUGAAUUUUAUUUUAGAUGCUCCACAUAAACUAAAGUUAGGAUCCUUGUUACUAUCUAUAUUGUUGGUCUGUUGGUAGGUACUAAACUCACUUGUUGUUAUUUUAUUGUGAUAAUAUUGUUGUAUAACUUUUGGGAAAUCUUGUUUUUAGGGAAGGUCUUGUCAAAAUAUCUAUAGAAAAUUUUGGAAUCUUUUUGUUUGUA